This 253-nucleotide ribosomal RNA is filed under the name uncultured bacterium. RNAcentral's name for it is "partial 16S ribosomal RNA". It matches the Rfam family "Bacterial small subunit ribosomal RNA", at positions 524 to 776 of the family's 1533-position model. The record is from RNAcentral.
UACGUAAGGGGCAAGCGUUGUCCGGAUUUAUUGGGCGUAAAGAGCGUGUAGGCGGCCAGAUAGGUCAGCUGUGAAAACUUGAGGCUCAACCUCGAGACGCAGGUUGAAACCAUUUGGCUAGAGUCCGGAAGAGGAGAGUGGAAUUCCUGGUGUAGCGGUGAAAUGCGCAGAUAUCAGGAAGAACACCCGUGGCUAAGGCGGCUCUCUAGUACGGUACUGACGCUGAGACGCGAAAGCGUGGGGAGCGAACAGG